RNAcentral lists this ribosomal RNA (468 nucleotides) under uncultured bacterium. RNAcentral's name for it is "partial 16S ribosomal RNA". It matches the Rfam family "Bacterial small subunit ribosomal RNA", at positions 28 to 507 of the family's 1533-position model. The record is from RNAcentral.
GACGAACGCUGGCGGCGUGCUUAACACAUGCAAGUCGAACGGAAAGGCCCUGCUUUUGUGGGGUGCUCGAGUGGCGAACGGGUGAGUAUCACGUGAGUAACAUGCCCUUGACUUUGGGAUAACUUCAGGAAACUGGGGCUAUUACAGGGUAGGAGAUCCUGCUGCAUGGGGGGGGUUGGAAAGUUUCGGCGGUUGUGGAUGGACUAGCGGCUUAUCAGCUUGUUGGUGGGGUAGUGGCUUACCAAGGCUUUGAAGGGUAGCCGGCCUGGGAGGGUGGCCGGCGACCUGGGGACUGAGGUACGGCCCAGUCUCCUACGGUCGGCAGCAGUCGGGAAUAUUGCGCAGUGGGCCGGCGCCUGAUGCGGCAACGCCGCGUUCGUGAUGAUGGCUUACGGGUUAUAAACCGCUUUCUCCGGUGACGAAGCGGUAGUGACGGUAAUGGGUAAGAAAGCACCGGCUAACUACGUG